UACAUGGGGUGCAAACGUUGCUCGGAAUUAUUGGGCGUAAAGCGCGCGUAGGCGGUUACUCAAGUCGGAUGUGAAAGCCCUCGGCUUAACUGAGGAAGUGCACCCGAAACUGAGUAGCUAGAGUACUAAAGAGGGUCGGCGGAAUUCCCGGUGUAGAGGUGAAAUUCGUAGAUAUCGGGAGGAAACACCGGUGGCGAAGGCGGCGACCUGGGUCGAGACUGACGCUGAGGCGCGAAAGCCAGGGGAGCGAAACGGG
RNAcentral lists this ribosomal RNA (256 nucleotides) under uncultured bacterium. RNAcentral describes it as "partial 16S ribosomal RNA". It matches the Rfam family "Bacterial small subunit ribosomal RNA", at positions 524 to 777 of the family's 1533-position model. The record is from RNAcentral.